This 261-nucleotide ribosomal RNA is filed under the name uncultured archaeon. RNAcentral's name for it is "partial 16S ribosomal RNA". It matches the Rfam family "Archaeal small subunit ribosomal RNA", at positions 748 to 1008 of the family's 1478-position model. The record is from RNAcentral.
CAGCUGUAAACGAUGCAGACUAGGUGUUUGGACGGCCACGUGCCGUUCUAGUGCCGCAGGGAAGCUGUUAAGUCUGCCGCCUGGGGAGUACGAUCGCAAGAUUGAAACUUAAAGGAAUUGGCGGGGGAGCACCACAACGGGUGGAGCCUGCGGUUUAAUCGGACUCAACGCCGGGAAUCUCACCGGAUAAGACAGCUGAAUGAUAGUCGGGAUGAAGACUCUACUUGACUAGCUGAGAGGUGGUGCAUGGCGUCAGUGACU